UACGGGGGGAGCAAGCGUUGUUCGGAUUUACUGGGCGUAAAGGGCGCGUAGGCGGUCAGUGCAAGUCAGUUGUGAAAUCUCCGGGCUUAACUCGGAAAGGUCAACUGAUACUGCUCGACUAGAGUGCGGAAGGGGCAACUGGAAUUCUUGGUGUAGCGGUGAAAUGCGUAGAUAUCAAGAGGAACACCUGCGGCGAAGGCGGGUUGCUGGGCCGACACUGACGCUGAUGCGCGAAAGCGUGGGGAGCAAACAGG
This 254-nucleotide ribosomal RNA is filed under the name uncultured bacterium. Its description in RNAcentral is "partial 16S ribosomal RNA". It matches the Rfam family "Bacterial small subunit ribosomal RNA", at positions 524 to 776 of the family's 1533-position model. The record is from RNAcentral.